This is a long non-coding RNA of Leptopilina heterotoma, 1675 nucleotides long. RefSeq lists it as uncharacterized. The transcript is spliced from 4 exons. NCBI's taxonomy places the organism in Eukaryota, Metazoa, Arthropoda, Insecta, Hymenoptera, Figitidae. The record is from RefSeq and is a predicted model, not a curated record.
UAUGUAUAGAAAAUUAUAAUUAAAGAAUAUUUGUUGUUAAAGUUUAAAUUUUUGUUGAAAUAUGUUGCACGUUUUCAAGUUAAUUUAGAAUUCAUUGCUCAAGCAAAAAUUUGUAUAGUUUUUUCUUCCAUCCUUCGAUUUUCUCCAGCAUCAUUGUCGGAAGAAAAGGAAUUGAAAUGAAAGUCCAUUUUUUGUCCUAUUAGAUCGCCUAUUUUAUUCGGAAACCAUUGAAUUUUUGGAUUCAUCAUCACUGCAUUGAAAGUUUUUGUAAAUAUAUUUAUAUGACUCAAAAAAGGUGGCACUUGGUGUUUUUGAUCGUACGUCAUAAUAGUAAUGUCCAAAUACUCGCGUAGCUCAAAAGAAUGCAAGGUACUAUAAAGAUACUCAUGCACAGGAAAAAAAAAGUCUGACUCCGUUUACACCUUAAAUUCAGCCCAUGUAUUUCACAUAAGUCUGUCCUUGUUUAACGGGGCUGACUCCGUUUACAUCAUAAAUUCAGCCUCAAAAAGAGGCUGAAAGUAAAACUUUUUUUUUAGUGUGUGACUUGCACUGAAAGAAUUCAUAAUUAAACAUCUCGGAAGUGCCAAUUUUGUUUCGUAAUUUAUCUGACGAAGGUGUUUUGAUAUUGAAACCAUCGUGAUAGAUAGAUUUUGUUAAUACAUGUUGUCUGACUUUAAAGAUUUUUCUACUAUUUGGUCUGAUUUAAUGGAUUUUGUACUUAAAUAACCAUUGUCUGACUAUUGAUAUACUUUUCUACUGAAAAAAUAUUGAAAUAGACGAAUCUGCAAUACCGACCAUUCAUAUGGUAACAUAGAAGUUCUACAAUUGCAAUGUAGGGGCGAUGACUUUAGUGGCGACGCCAUAACUGAAGAAAGUCAUUUCGUUCGCACUUGAAUUAAUUAUGAAUGUUUUGUAAUAAUAAAUAAGUUUUGUUUUAUCCGAAUAAUUAAUAUUAUAUAAAAGAUAAGUAAGAAAUUAUAGAAAAAAUAAUUAUAUUUUGACAAAACGCAACAUGUCAAAAAUCAACAAUGAAAACAAUAUUUUUGUCAAAUAUUGACUAUUAAAUACAGAAUCGUGUAAUACAUUACAUCGUUACAAUUAUAAAUACGAUAUUCUUGCAUGACUGCAAUUAGUUUGACAUGAAAGAUUAAUGUUUCGCCGCAGAAUAAUAUAGAGCUGCAAUCGUCAGAGCCGCAAGAUGUAUACCUAACCUCAAAAUUGUCAAAAUGAAUAUACAUUUUGUUUUCAGAAAAUAAAAUUCUACCAAUGGUCUGUAUUCUUAGACAAAAAAUAGUUGUCACGCAUCGUGUUUACAUAUUUCUUCUCGAACUAUCAGAUUCCUCCUCCUCUGUGACUCCUGUGAAUAUUGAGUGAUGCAGACAAUUUUGAUGUAACAGAAACCUGGGAAAUUUUAUGGAUCGAAUAUAAUAAGGACAACUUAGAAAUAUUAAACUGGAGGAACCACGAUAUUCAUUAUCAUUUACCGGACAAAGAUCUUCGAGAGUUGUCCAUUUUUCAACAGGAAUCGAAACCCAACGACCGUUCGUUUUUGUUAAUUCAACAAUGUAAAAAAACUGGAAGGACAUUUUUGGUGAAAAGUGAUUCCUGGAUAUUGACUUAUAUUCAAUUUUAUUGUUUUCUACAGGAAGUGCGAUGAUACCGGAACCAUCGCCCA